This 433-nucleotide ribosomal RNA is filed under the name uncultured bacterium. Its description in RNAcentral is "partial 16S ribosomal RNA". It matches the Rfam family "Bacterial small subunit ribosomal RNA", at positions 29 to 507 of the family's 1533-position model. The record is from RNAcentral.
AACGAACGCUGGCGGCAUGCCUAACACAUGCAAGUCGAACGAGACCUUCGGGUCUAGUGGCGCACGGGUGCGUAACGCGUGGGAACCUGCCCUUAGGUUCGGAAUAAAUCCCCGAAAGGGGUGCUAAUACCGGAUAAUGUCUUCGGACCAAAGAUUUAUCGCCUUUGGUUGGGCCCGCGUUGGAUUAGCUAGUUGGUAGGGUAAAAGCCUACCAAGGCGACGAUCCAUAGCUGGUCUGAGAGGAUGAUCAGCCACACUGGGACUGGGACACGGCCCAGACUCCUACGGGAGGCAGCAGUGGGGAAUAUUGGACAAUGGGCGAAAGCCUGAUCCAGCAAUGCCGCGUGAGUGAUGAAGGCCUUAGGGUUGUAAAGCUCUUUUACCCGGGAUGAUAAUGACAGUACCGGGAGAAUAAGCUCCGGCUAACUCCGUG